This 517-nucleotide ribosomal RNA is filed under the name uncultured bacterium. RNAcentral's name for it is "bacterial SSU rRNA". It matches the Rfam family "Bacterial small subunit ribosomal RNA", at positions 382 to 916 of the family's 1533-position model. The record is from RNAcentral.
CCUGACGCAGCGACGCCGCGUGGAGGAUGACACAUUUCGGUGCGUAAACUCCUUUUAUAUGAGAAGAUAAUGACGGUAUCAUAUGAAUAAGCACCGGCUAACUCCGUGCCAGCAGCCGCGGUAAUACGGGGGGUGCAAGCGUUACUCGGAAUCACUGGGCGUAAAGAGCAUGUAGGCUGGUUUGUAAGUUGGAAGUGAAAUCCUAUGGCUUAACCAUAGAACUGCUUCCAAAACUGCAGACCUAGAGUAUGGGAGAGGUAGAUGGAAUUUCUGGUGUAGGGGUAAAAUCCGUAGAGAUCAGAAGGAAUACCGAUUGCGAAGGCGAUCUACUGGAACAUCACUGACGCUGAGAUGCGAAAGCGUGGGGAGCAAACAGGAUUAGAUACCCUGGUAGUCCACGCCCUAAACGAUGCACACUAGUUGUUGCUAUGCUCGACAUAGCAGUAAUGCAGUUAACACAGUAAGUGUGCCGCCUGGGGAGUACGGUCGCAAGAUUAAAACUCAAAGGAAUUGACGG